CCUCCUCUUCUUGCCUCCUCUCAGGCAUGUGGUCCCAAUCCCCGUAAUGUACGGAGGGGGAGGGAAAGGGCUCCAGCCCCCCAUGUCUUCGGUGCUGAUGGUUUUCAGUCCACCGGUUCUCUCCUCAAGUGCCGGGACACGG
Small nucleolar RNA from Artibeus jamaicensis (Jamaican fruit-eating bat), 142 nucleotides. RefSeq annotates it as small nucleolar RNA SNORA57. The transcript has a single exon. NCBI's taxonomy places the organism in Eukaryota, Metazoa, Chordata, Mammalia, Chiroptera, Phyllostomidae. The record is from RefSeq and is a predicted model, not a curated record.